CUUGGGCUUAUCCAAUGGUCAAAACAAUUAAACAAGUUUUAAAAGGCUGAGGGAUAGAAAAUUAAUGGGAAAAGCUAUUAAUCGGAUAAUUAAUGUUAAACAAUGUUAAAUGUAUUUAUCUUGAAAUAAAUAAAGAAAAACGGUCAUAUUUAGUAAAGAAUAAAGAAAAUAAAUAGAGAAAAAAAUAAAAUAUGGGCCUGAUCAUGCUAUGCACGUGAGCUGGUCCGACCAUCUCCAUGUGUAAUU
Molecule: long non-coding RNA, 246 nt
Filed under: Elaeis guineensis (African oil palm)
Lineage: Eukaryota; Viridiplantae; Streptophyta; Magnoliopsida; Arecales; Arecaceae
Description: long non-coding RNA (EGUI_LNC026759)
Source: RNAcentral